GAUUACUCGCUCUCCCGCUGAUGUUAAGACUACCCCGAGCUCCCAGAAGAGAUCUGACUUCAGACGUAUCAACAACUGGCGCCGCUCACACUGCUUGCGAGCUCAACAGCCAUGAAACCAGGGAUCAACAACUACCUUUCGCGUGCCCUAUGUGCAUAUCACUCGACUCUGAGAUAAACCUGCUCAACUCCUCUUUUUUUGAGUAUCUCGAUCGAAUUGAUAUCUCUGACUUGGACACCUUUAUUGGUACGAGUUCCCCGAAUUCUUCACCACCAGUGCUUGUGCGAUCCACAGGAAAGAAUAUUCGUCUCUCCACACGGGACAGACAGCAUUUGCUCUCUACGCUAGAUCGCCCUGCUUCAUCUGGCCCCAGUUCCAUCCCCGUCGGAGCUUGUUCUCUCCCGCAACCCUCUGGGAAAAACCUGCGCCUGGCCGCCGGGGACAGCCAAGAUUUGCUCUCUGAGCUCACUCCCGAUGCUCCGGCCGAUCGGAGCCCCAGAAACGCUUCUAAUUCUCCGCCAUCAGACACACGAAAUGCACCGCGCCUGCCUUUGAGACCCAAUCACGGGCGUCUCAGAAGGAGGAGUAGCAGGACCCGCAGGAUCGCAAGGACAAGGAGGACAACGCGAACACGCACCCGAAGGCAGCUGGCGUCAAUCGCUCUUCGUGCGGUAUCUCUGUUCGCUGAAUUAGUUCAGCUCAUCUUAUAAAAACUUUGUUUUUGAUAUUUUUUUUUAUUUUGCUUUUCAAACAUACUUUCUUUUGUGGUUUUUUCUUUUAAUAUAUUCCUGUUAAACAAUAAUAAUAAAAUAAAAUGGAUAACCAGGAACAAGAUAUUACAGACCCGUUUCUUGCUUUAGAAACAGCGUUAGCUAGGUUAAAUGAAAAUAUACACCAUUCUCAGAUUACAUAUUCACAAAACAGUGAGCAACCUGAGGUGAUCAAUAAUAAUGAUCCUUUAGAAUUGCUUAAUUUAGCUCUUGCCCGAUUAGCACCCAAUGAAAGUGCCUUUCAAAAUAUUUCUUUGAGUUUGGGAUUGGAUCAUGAUGAGAUCCAAACAGAGUCAGACGCGGUUCAUUCACAAAUGAGUCUGACACAAAACAUCUCCUCUUC
Molecule: long non-coding RNA, 1113 nt
Organism: Astatotilapia calliptera (eastern happy)
Lineage: Eukaryota; Metazoa; Chordata; Actinopteri; Cichliformes; Cichlidae
Source: Ensembl